GGAACAGUAAAUGAGAGAGCGGAAAAUUCCAGCCAAACACAAACACCACAAAAGUGUAAAAAUAUGCCUGGUCGCAAAUGUACAACAUCGCAAAAACAGUCCAGUCCUUAAGGGGUUAAGGAAAAAAAGAAUUUAAAUUGAGUAAAAAUUUCUGUUUUCGGCGAUAUGUAACAGUUGUUGAAUCAGUCAAGGUACAAGUAGGCCUAAUAAGAGGUGAUUUAUUAAUUAUUUAUUUUCUGAGAUUAGUUGUUAUUAAUAUUUUUUUGUCCUCUUUUUCAGGCCUACCCAUUCUGUUGUGGGAGGGUUUUUGACAACUUAUAUCUAUCCCCUACCAGCUACCUCCUGACAUUCUGCUGAUGUUUGAAACCCCACCCAACUCUUCCUAUUAUACCGUUUCAACACACCACAACAGACUUGCUCUUACUGGUAAAUCUUAUUAUAUGCCCUUGGCCUUUGUCACCGACCACAUAUAUAAUUUCAUCAUGGUCCAAGUUCUGCUAUAUAUGGCUCUGCUAAUGCAUGUGUGAAUUUCACAUCCAUUUUAGCCUGUCCAACAUUGGGCAGAAAUGAUAACCUAAAUAGUGCGAUGAUAGCACCACGUCAGCCAUGAUUUAUGUCAUAGUCAGUUCCCUAUGUUCUAUUUAAUUUCACAUUUGUCCUAUAAUGCCAUGAUUUAAUAUUUGCAUUACUACACCACCUUAUCUAUGUGUUUUCUGCAUUUACCCCAGUCUUGGUUAAUACAAAAAUUCCAGUUCUAUUUAAUGCCUUACCAUGGUUCAUCCAAAUGUAUCCUAUCAUCUCUGCCAUACUUAAAGGAACACUAUAGGCUCAGGAACACAAUCAUGUAUUCCUGACCCUAUAGUGUUAAACCCACCAUUUAAGAGGCGUGCCUCCCUUUAGAAACUUUUUUCAAACUCACCUUAUUUCCAGCGCCGGGUGGGUCUGCCGAAGCUGGCCCCAUCCCUGAUCUGCCUCCUUGGUGACAUCAUCAGAAUUUCCAAUUUUUAGCCAAUCCAAUGCUUUCCCAAGAGUAAAGCAUUGGAUUGGCUGAAAUCAGAGGCAGGAUGUUUAGUGGCUAGGACAUUUUGGCUAAUCAGCACCUCCUCAUAGAGCUGCAUUGAAUCAAUGCAUCCUUAUGAGGAAAAUUCAGCGUCUCGAUGCAGUGCAUGGAGAUGCUGAACAGCACUGCUGCCUACUGUGCAGCACUGCCCCAGGAAGCACCUCUAGUGGCCAUCUGACGAGUGGCCACUUGGAAGUGUCCCUAGGGGCAAUGUAAAUACUGCCUGUUCUCUGAAAAGGCAGUGUUUGCAUGAAAAUGCCUGAAGGCAAUGAUUAUGCAUUAAGCUGUAGUUGUUCUGGUGACUAUAGUCCCUUUAAUUCCAUAUCUUCUGUUGUGACCCCCCCUAGCCCAUACUACUUUAUUUACCAUAUGUCAGCCAAGAAUACUUGCUUAUUUUCAAUUAUUUAAUGCUUUCACUUGCCAUAUGAUCUGUCAUGUAAUUCAUGUUUUGUGUACAACAAUUCCAUCUGUAAUAUGUUACUCAUUUAUCUUGCGACAAACCCUGUGACCAGACCGCAUUUCACUCUGAGCUCCUCAUGGUACAGCAUGUUCUCAGAGGUGAGCAGAGAGUCCUCAGGUAUCCCUCAGCAGCAGGAUGAAUGGCCUUUCUGAAAAUGCUUGAUUAGUUUGAUUUAAGAGUUAUUUUAUUUAUAUCAUGUUGUUAUUUUACACUUCAUUUAAAGUGGUUUUGUCAGUCAGGUGUCUGCAUAAAUUUGUGACUGUUCUGUGGAUUUUUGCUUGGCGAACAUUGCCUUAUUAGAUGUCAUUGUCUGAUGGGAAUCACCAUUUUAAUGCUGAUACCUAUUACUCACAUUACAGCCUUGAAGCCAAUUAGUAGCAUAUUUUAAGAUGGCCCUAGUCACACAGGUAUGAACCACGGCUCUAUAUACUUUGCAGCUAGUUCUUCAUAAUGUUUCCAGGCAAGCCACAGUUCUCAAAGUUACAUGUUUAAAUAUAUCCAGGCCACGUAUUCACUUUUUGCAUCUUAUAGGGGAGGUUGCUCUCACACCAAGGACCUUUUAGAAGCUGUCCAGAGUUUCACUGUUCAUAUCUGUGAAUGCCAUAGUGACCUUAUGAUCACUGAACGGGCUGUUUUAGUUUGUCCAGCAGCCUUAUUUAUUUGUGUCUGGGUUUUUCUAGAGAGCAGUCCUUGCAGAUCCAGUCAGUUUGUGGUGUUAGGUCCUCUCUGCAGUCAUGGAAUACGACGAGUCUGGACUCUGAGAAAGAUGCUGAAACAGAAUGGACAUUUUUAGAUUCAGAACUUAACCAG
Non-coding RNA from Pelobates cultripes (western spadefoot toad), 2330 nucleotides. The record is from the annotation of a GenBank genome assembly. NCBI's taxonomy places the organism in Eukaryota, Metazoa, Chordata, Amphibia, Anura, Pelobatidae.